AGUGAACGCUGGCGGUAGGCCUAACACAUGCAAGUCGAACGGCAGCACAGUAAGAGCUUGCUCUUACGGGUGGCGAGUGGCGGACGGGUGAGGAAUACAUCGGAAUCUACUUUUUCGUGGGGGAUAACGUAGGGAAACUUACGCUAAUACCGCAUACGACCUACGGGUGAAAGCAGGGGAUCUUCGGACCUUGCGCGAUUGAAUGAGCCGAUGUCGGAUUAGCUAGUUGGCGGGGUAAAGGCCCACCAAGGCGACGAUCCGUAGCAGGUCUGAGAGGAUGAUCAGCCACACUGGAACUGAGACACGGUCCAGACUCCUACGGGAGGCAGCAGUGGGGAAUAUUGGACAAUGGGCGCAAGCCUGAUCCAGCCAUACCGCGUGAGUGAAGAAGGCCUUCGGGUUGUAAAGCCCUUUUGUUGGGAAAGAAAAGAAGCAGGUUAAUACCCCGAUGUUCUGACGGUACCCAAAGAAUAAGCACCGGCUAACUUCGUG
Molecule: ribosomal RNA, 492 nt
Filed under: uncultured bacterium
Lineage: Bacteria
Description: partial 16S ribosomal RNA
Rfam family: Bacterial small subunit ribosomal RNA
Source: RNAcentral